This 464-nucleotide ribosomal RNA is filed under the name uncultured Klebsiella sp. RNAcentral describes it as "bacterial SSU rRNA". It matches the Rfam family "Bacterial small subunit ribosomal RNA", at positions 338 to 795 of the family's 1533-position model. Lineage: Bacteria; Pseudomonadati; Pseudomonadota; Gammaproteobacteria; Enterobacterales; Enterobacteriaceae. The record is from RNAcentral.
CCUACGGGUGCAGCAGUGGGGAAUAUUGCACAAUGGGCGCAAGCCUGAUGCAGCCAUGCCGCGUGUGUGAAGAAGGCCUUCGGGUUGUAAAGCACUCUCAGCGGGGAGGAAGGCGGUGAGGUUAAUAACCUCAUCGAUUGACGUUACCCGCAGAAGAAGCACCGGCUAACUCCGUGCCAGCAGCCGCGGUAAUACGGAGGGUGCAAGCGUUAAUCGGAAUUACUGGGCGUAAAGCGCACGCAGGCGGUCUGUCAAGUCGGAUGUGAAAUCCCCGGGCUCAACCUGGGAGCUGCAUUCGAAACUGGCAGGCUAGAGUCUUGUAGAGGGGGGUAGAAUUCCAGGUGUAGCGGUGAAAUGCGUAGAGAUCUGGAGGAAUACCGGUGGCGAAGGCGGCCCCCUGGACAAAGACUGACGCUCAGGUGCGAAAGCGUGGGGAGCAAACAGGAUUAGAUACCCGGGUAGUU